AUUGAACGCUGGCGGCAGGCCUAACACAUGCAAGUCGAGCGGAUGAAGGGAGCUUGCUCCUGGAUUCAGCGGCGGACGGGUGAGUAAUGCCUAGGAAUCUGCCUGGUAGUGGGGGAUAACGUCCGGAAACGGGCGCUAAUACCGCAUACGUCCUGAGGGAGAAAGUGGGGGAUCUUCGGACCUCACGCUAUCAGAUGAGCCUAGGUCGGAUUAGCUAGUUGGUGGGGUAAAGGCCUACCAAGGCGACGAUCCGUAACUGGUCUGAGAGGAUGAUCAGUCACACUGGAACUGAGACACGGUCCAGACUCCUACGGGAGGCAGCAGUGGGGAAUAUUGGACAAUGGGCGAAAGCCUGAUCCAGCCAUGCCGCGUGUGUGAAGAAGGUCUUCGGAUUGUAAAGCACUUUAAGUUGGGAGGAAGGGCAGUAAGUUAAUACCUUGCUGUUUUGACGUUACACCGAAUAAGCACCGCU
Molecule: ribosomal RNA, 472 nt
Filed under: Pseudomonas aeruginosa
Lineage: Bacteria; Pseudomonadati; Pseudomonadota; Gammaproteobacteria; Pseudomonadales; Pseudomonadaceae
Description: bacterial SSU rRNA
Rfam family: Bacterial small subunit ribosomal RNA
Source: RNAcentral